UGCAAGUCGUAACGGUGGCAGGCACUUCGGACGCUGACGAGUGGCGAACGGGUGAGUAAUACAUCGGAACGUGCCCAGUCGUGGGGGAUAACUACUCGAAAGAGUAGCUAAUACCGCAUACGAUCUGAGGAUGAAAGCGGGGGACCUUCGGGCCUCGCGCGAUUGGAGCGGCCGAUGGCAGAUUAGGUAGUUGGUGGGAUAAAAGCUUACCAAGCCGACGAUCUGUAGCUGGUCUGAGAGGACGACCAGCCACACUGGGACUGAGACACGGCCCAGACUCCUACGGGAGGCAGCAGUGGGGAAUUUUGGACAAUGGGCGAAAGCCUGAUCCAGCAAUGCCGCGUGCAGGAUGAAGGCCUUCGGGUUGUAAACUGCUUUUGUACGGAACGAAAAAGCUCCUUCUAAUACAGGGGGCCCAUGACGGUACCGUAAGAAUAAGCACCGGCUAACUACGUGCCAGCAGCCGCGGUAAUACGUAGGGUGCGAGCGUUAAUCGGAAUUACUGGGCGUAAAGCGUGCGCAGGCGGUUAUGUAAGACAGAUGUGAAAUCCCCGGGCUCAACCUGGGAACUGCAUUUGUGACUGCAUGGCUAGAGUACGGUAGAAGGGGGGAUGGAAUUCCGCGUGUAGCAGUGAAAUGCGUAGAUAUGCGGAGGAACACCGAUGGCGAAGGCAAUCCCCUGGACCUGUACUGACGCUCAUGCACGAAAGCGUG
This 714-nucleotide ribosomal RNA is filed under the name Delftia sp. RNAcentral describes it as "bacterial SSU rRNA". It matches the Rfam family "Bacterial small subunit ribosomal RNA", at positions 56 to 763 of the family's 1533-position model. Lineage: Bacteria; Pseudomonadati; Pseudomonadota; Betaproteobacteria; Burkholderiales; Comamonadaceae. The record is from RNAcentral.